RNAcentral lists this unclassified non-coding RNA (234 nucleotides) under Hevea brasiliensis (rubber tree). The record is from RNAcentral. Lineage: Eukaryota; Viridiplantae; Streptophyta; Magnoliopsida; Malpighiales; Euphorbiaceae.
GGAAAGUAAUCAAACAGCAGCUUCAUUAUAGGAUUGUCCGAGUUUCCACCAGGCGAACAUCUUCUUAAAGCAGCCGUCACUCACAGUUCAGGGUGCAUGUAAAAAGCUGUGCGCACACAUGUCCCCUGGGCGUAAAUUGUCAGAAUCAGAGGAAGCCUGCUGGAUUCCCUCCACCUUUCAGCUACCUUUCUACACCUUUUCCCAUUUCAAUUUCAAAUCUCUCUUUCUUUUCAA